This 1367-nucleotide long non-coding RNA is filed under the name Bos indicus x Bos taurus (hybrid cattle). RNAcentral describes it as "lncRNA (ENSBIXG00005026927.1)". Lineage: Eukaryota; Metazoa; Chordata; Mammalia; Artiodactyla; Bovidae. The record is from RNAcentral.
AUCCAUGUUGCUCUGGCCUCUUGGUGUAUCAAGUUACUUUGGAUCUCUCCAUCCUAGUUUAUCCUUCAUAUCGUUACCAGGGUGAUACUGCUGAAACUCAAAUCCUACUGCAGCAUCAUUUCUGCUUAAAAUUCUUCUGAGAUUCCUUUUGCCUUCAGGAAAAGCCCAGACUUCUUUAUGGCACAUUCAAAGCUACAAGGCCCCCAUCACUGUUCUCAUAGCUCAACGUGCCUGCCCACCCCCUCCAACCCCAAUGCCUUGUGAUUGCAGGACCUGCUGGACAGCUCCCUGCUUAUGAACAAGCUAAGCUGUUCAUCACCUCUGUGCCUUUGAACAAAGCAGUUUCCUCUGCUUGAGGCUCUCUUCCUCCUUCCCACCCUUCUCUCCCUUUCCUGCCUGGCAAAUUCCUCUCCAUCUUUUUUUGCAGCUAAAAUAGCAUCUUCCCCAUGGAACAAUCCCUCACACUCUCCUCUCUCAGGCAUUCAGUCUCUGCUUCUGUUUUCACACUUUCCCUGGCUUAUUGUUUUUAUUUAUUUGCAUCUCUGCCUCCCUGAGAGACUGGUAACAACUUGAGGGUCUCGUUCAUAGUAGGUCGUCAGACACUCAUUGAUAAAUAAAUGCUUCUGAGAUACAGGAUCAACCUAAUUGUCUUCUUACUUAUCUAAAAGGAAGGAGGCUAAAAGGUAACAAACAUAUGGGUUCCCUAAGGAAAUCUCGUGAAGAAACAUAAGUAAAUGUCGAGAAUUUGGCUUUGGGGUCAUGGACAAAGCCCAGAAUAUAUGUUUUUGGUUUCUGGUUUUUCAGACUCCUGGGGCCAAUGACUUCUAGAAGCUGAGCUAUUUGACUGCAUUAGUCAUGACGGCACAUCACCUGGUGAAAAUCAAAAGGCUGCAAAUUACCUGUGUAGUGUUAGAAGCGUUCUUACAAGUACGAUUUAUGAAAAUCUUAAAGGACUGUGGGAGAGGCACACUCAUAGAGUGUGUGAUAUUCAGAUGGAUUCAUUACCCCUAGCGCCACCUGGGAAGCCCUCUAAAGAGGAGAGACUCCCCCAGAGGAAUACCAACUAAGACACAGUGACAACCAUUGAACACCAGCCAGUCCCAGAUGUGUGAGGCAAGGGUAAAAUGGAGCCAGGUAAGUAAAAAUUGUCCUGUUCCCCUCCCUCCCCUCCCUCUCCCCAGUUGCUCUGUACUCAAGGUCAGCUAAUAGUUGGGAAGGAGUUAAGAAGAAAGAAAGAGGGGGACACAUUUCUUUCUACACUCAGGGCAGCUAGCAUUUAGAGUGACCAUAGAAGCUGCUUAUAAGGCCGGUCUUUGGCUGGUGUCUGGGAACUUGGAUUUCAGGAGGGUUCCCGUGCCUCCAUCUCC